AUUGAACGCUGGCGGCAGGCUUAACACAUGCAAGUCGAGCGGGGUGAUGGUGCUUGCACUAUCACUUAGCGGCGGACGGGUGAGUAAUGCUUAGGAAUCUGCCUAUUAGUGGGGGACAACAUCUCGAAAGGGAUGCUAAUACCGCAUACGUCCUACGAGAGAAAGCAGGGGAGCACUUGUGACCUUGCGCUAAUAGAUGAGCCUAAGGCGGAUUAGCUAGUUGGUGGGGUAAAGCCCUACCAAGGCGACGAUCUGUAGCGGGUCUGAGAGGCUGAUCCGCCACACUGGGACUGAGACACUGCCCAGACUCCUACGGGAGGCAGCAGUGGGGAAUAUUGGACAAUGGGGGGAACCCUGAUCCAGCCAUGCCGCGUGUGUGAAGAAGGCCUUAUGGUUGUAAAGCACUUUAAGCGAGGAGGAGGCUCUUUUGGUUAAUACCCAAGAUGAGUGGACGUUACUCGCAGAAUGAGCACCGGCUAACUCUGUGCCAGCCGCCGCCGUAA
Molecule: ribosomal RNA, 503 nt
Filed under: uncultured bacterium
Lineage: Bacteria
Description: partial 16S ribosomal RNA
Rfam family: Bacterial small subunit ribosomal RNA
Source: RNAcentral